Molecule: ribosomal RNA, 253 nt
Filed under: uncultured bacterium
Lineage: Bacteria
Description: partial 16S ribosomal RNA
Rfam family: Bacterial small subunit ribosomal RNA
Source: RNAcentral
UACGUAGGGUGCGAGCGUUGUCCGGAAUUACUGGGCGUAAAGGGCGCGUAGGCGGCCUUCUAAGUCGAACGUGAAAUCCCCGGGCUCAACCCGGGAACUGCGUCCGAUACUGGAAGGCUUGAAUUCGGGAGAGGGAUGCGGAAUUCCAGGUGUAGCGGUGAAAUGCGUAGAUAUCUGGAGGAACACCGGUGGCGAAGGCGGCAUCCUGGACCGGCAUUGACGCUGAGGCGCGAAAGCCAGGGGAGCAAACGGG